UAUCAUCUUUUGUAUGUGAUGAUUUUAGUAUUAUGAACGAUGUAAAAGCUUAAGUUUUUGGAUGAAAAUAUGCUAUGUAAUUUUGGAAGAUCAUGUGAUGUAAAAAAAAAUGAUGGAAAGAAUAUAAAAGAAUUUAAUUGUUGAAUGCAUGUAUAUGAUUAAAAAGAUAAUCAUUGUACUUGUAUGUUGUUUAGUUUAGUACUUUCACUUUUGGCUAUUGCUUGCCCUUAUGCAAGCUAUGUAUAUCUUUGUUCCGCUGUGAAAAUUCAUAUAUACAUGAUCUGUUCUUUUUGAGCCUUGGGCAGACAGGGGAGGUACUGUCCGUUCGGCGUCUGUUCGACGUGCCC
RNAcentral lists this long non-coding RNA (347 nucleotides) under Ananas comosus (pineapple). RNAcentral's name for it is "long non-coding RNA (ACOM_LNC019678)". The record is from RNAcentral. Lineage: Eukaryota; Viridiplantae; Streptophyta; Magnoliopsida; Poales; Bromeliaceae.